Molecule: long non-coding RNA, 1120 nt
Organism: Oncorhynchus masou masou (cherry salmon)
Lineage: Eukaryota; Metazoa; Chordata; Actinopteri; Salmoniformes; Salmonidae
Exons: 4
Source: RefSeq, a predicted model, not a curated record
CUUCCAGAGGCAAGAGAGUCAAUUUACAAGCCAGAGUCCCAGACAGUCCCACCCGGCUAAACAGUCAGGAGCCUACUGUUCUUUCUUGUUGUUCCUUGUUUGGGUGAUAGAAUUGGGAAAAGGCUACUUUUAUAUUUUGGAUAUCUUUCUCAGGCCAAAUUGUAGACAUAGGAAUGGGCCGGAGGAACAAGCCAAGGGCAACAAGACCAGAAAUAGGUGAUAAAUUGGUAACACUUGACCCUCAUCCAAUGGUUGUGGGAGCAGUGAAAUGUGUACUACCCAGGAAGACUGCCUUAAACUUACUUAAGGCGUGUGAAGUAACCACAAACAUCCGAAGUCCUGUCUCCAAUAUGUAUGAGAGAUUAGAUAAUAGAGUGGUGAAAAUCUGUGUCAAUCUAUGGCCUGUCCUGGCUUCAGCCAAAGAGCCUGUAGAGGAAAGCAGUAGUUCACUGGAUGAAGAGGAACCUGGGACCAGCACAGAUACAAGGACCUUCAACACAUCAAAGUCUGGUGAGCAGCGUCCGAGAGACCAAGAAAGGAGACCCCAUGUUAGACAAGAAUUGGACAGGGCUAAAGCAAGCUGUCUAGUGAAGCCUAUUUUACUACCACCCAUAAGUAAACUAUCCCUUACAACACGACUAGCACAUUCAGAGUGCACGGGAAUGCCAGUGCCACAAACAUCUCUGCCACAGACAUGUAUAUCAGACCAAGAUGCCUUGGUCAAGUCCUCCAAGGGGACAAAAGCCAUUGAGAAUAAGGCACCAUUUCCCAUGAUCCUAUUGCAGAAGACCAGCACUUUGAUGGACAGCACCAUUAUCUCCCAAUGUAGGUCUGCCCAGGUUCACCUCCCUGAGAUCUCAGUGUCCAGUAUAGAAGGCCUGCUUCAGAGAGUUGCAGAGCGAGUGGGAAGGAGAGAGAGAAAGAGGGAUGAGACAUCGGGACUGACCAAUCCUGAUCAUCUUCUCAUGGCUGGCACGCUGCGAAACCUGAGAGAGAAGAGGCUCCAGCAUUGGGGAGACUAUAGCUCAGAGGGAGCGGUAAGAUGUCCAGAGGUCAAGCCAAUUGGUGGACAGAAAGGGACCACUCUAGUAACAGAGAAUGGAAUGCAGAACCCUGCCUC